UGGAAAGUAUUAUUGGGCUGCUAACCUAAUGUAUCAGUUUUAAUUUCUGACUUUCUGU
Molecule: transfer RNA, 58 nt
Filed under: Uroctonus mordax (western forest scorpion)
Lineage: Eukaryota; Metazoa; Arthropoda; Arachnida; Scorpiones; Chactidae
Description: tRNA-Ser
Source: RNAcentral